RNAcentral lists this unclassified non-coding RNA (338 nucleotides) under soil metagenome. RNAcentral's name for it is "partial contains 5.8S ribosomal RNA, internal transcribed spacer 2, and large subunit ribosomal RNA". The stretch from base 1 to 119 matches the Rfam family "5.8S ribosomal RNA", at positions 36 to 154 of the family's 154-position model. The record is from RNAcentral.
AUGAAGAACGUAGUGAAAUGCGAUAACUAAUGUGAAUUGCAGAAUUCAGUGAAUCAUCGAGUCUUUGAACGCACAUUGCGCCCCCUGGUAUUCCGGGGGGCAUGCCUGUCCGAGCGUCAUUGCUGCCCUCAAGCACGGCUUGUGUGUUGGGCUCCGUCCCCCCGGGGACGGGCCCGAAAGGCAGCGGCGGCACCGAGUCCGGUCCUCGAGCGUAUGGGGCUUUGUCAUCCGCUCUGUAGGCCCGGCCGGCGCCAGCCGACAACCCAUCAUCCUUUUCAGGUUGACCUCGGAUCAGGUAGGGAUACCCGCUGAACUUAAGCAUAUCAAUAAGCGGAGGA